UUUCCGAUUUGUGUUUGUGUGCGUGCGCGUGUAGGGAGUAACGAAUUAAACAAAUUUAUUUAAAAAUAUUUACUAGCGUCUCGCGGCGGCCAUAUCGGCCAGAUAUUUCGACUGUUUACAUUUGCUCAAUUUACACGGAGUGAGUCUGCCUUUCAGAAAUACAUAUACCGUAAAUACACCGAUAAAAAAAAAGAACUUGGCCAAGUGGAACCCCCUUUAUUUAAACAGUAUAAUAACUUGAGGAAAAACGCGGAAAUUAGAUCUAUGUAAAUUCUCUUUACUUAACAAAUAAAAACACCACCACAUCUUUCACUGUGCUGAAAUUCUUCAUCA
This is a long non-coding RNA of Drosophila pseudoobscura, 333 nucleotides long. RefSeq lists it as uncharacterized. The record is from RefSeq and is a predicted model, not a curated record. NCBI's taxonomy places the organism in Eukaryota, Metazoa, Arthropoda, Insecta, Diptera, Drosophilidae. The transcript is spliced from 2 exons.